AGCGAACGCUGGCGGCAGGCCUAACACAUGCAAGUCGAACGGAUCCUUCGGGAUUAGUGGCGGACGGGUGAGUAACACGUGGGAACGUGCCCUUUGGUUCGGAACAACUCAGGGAAACUUGAGCUAAUACCGGAUGUGCCCUUCGGGGGAAAGAUUUAUCGCCAUUGGAGCGGCCCGCGUCUGAUUAGCUAGUUGGUGAGGUAACGGCCCACCAAGGCGACGAUCAGUAGCUGGUCUGAGAGGAUGAUCAGCCACACUGGGACUGAGACACGGCCCAGACUCCUACGGGAGGCAGCAGUGGGGAAUCUUGCGCAAUGGGCGAAAGCCUGACGCAGCCAUGCCGCGUGAAUGAUGAAGGUCUUAGGAUUGUAAAAUUCUUUCAGCGGGGACGAUAAUGAUGGUACCCGCAGAAGAAGCUCCGGCUAACUUCGUG
Molecule: ribosomal RNA, 433 nt
Filed under: uncultured bacterium
Lineage: Bacteria
Description: partial 16S ribosomal RNA
Rfam family: Bacterial small subunit ribosomal RNA
Source: RNAcentral